GUUUGGCUAGUUAGUUAGGUCAGUCGAGUCGUAAAGGUUUUCUUAGGACAAAGCCCAUCGAGCUAGGGCAGUCGUUAGCUUAGUCGUUAAAGUGUCUGUUAAAUUAUCACCAUCAUGAAUAAAUAAAGUGCCUUAUAUUUUAUCUACUCUAUUCUCUAUUUCUUUUAUAUGUGUUUGUCUUCACAUAUGGUGCAGGGAAGUAUACAGGAAAAUAAGUGUGGGGGAGGCACAUCUCAAUCACGAAAUGGAAAUUCAGUCAGAAAAGUAGCGUAAUCCGGAAUACAAUCGAACCAAGAUCGCGCAUAGUAAAGCAGGGCCCACACUGCCCAGAGGUGGGGCCGGCCGAGGCCCUGUUCGCUCAUCUCCACUCUCGUUUCGGUCAUGGUCAGGUUUGAGUUAUUUAAAUUAUAAUUGCAUAUAUUUUAUCUGUGAAUUGUUAUCCGAAUCGAGAAUCUUUAUAUUACACAUUUUAAGAAGAAUAAACACCAUUUAAUCUAUGACUUAAAAAAAUAAAUUGUAUAACACUUUUCUAGAGUCAUGUUGUGAAAUUUAUAGUACUUCAUGUUUACUUAAGUUAUUACGGAAAAAGAGAGAUAGCAAAAUAAUGAGUACUCGAUUCCUAAAAAUUUGUCUUUAGAGAUUUUUAUUUUAAAAGGUAAAAACAAAUUAGCUUCACCUCUCUUUAUUGGAAUCAUAUAAUAAUCAUAUCAUUCAAUUAUUAUGACUUGGGUCGAGAGAUUUAUCAUAUUCCUAGUAUCAUAAAAAUAAAAUAAAAACAUAAUACACUCUCUUAAGCACUAUUAUAAAGGAGGCAUGAGCUCUUUAUAAAGAAAUCCAAGGAAAUAAAAAGGGACAAGUGUCCGAAACCUCAAAAAGAUAGAUCAUGAGGAAAUAAAAAGGGACAAGUGUCUGGAACCUCGAUCUGAAGAAAAAGAGAAUAAAAAAGAAGAAAGAAGAGAAAAGAAAGAGAGCUCAUGGUCCCUCCUACAUAAUAUGCUAAGAAAGUGGAAAAUUUGUCUGAUCUAGGAAUAUAAUAUUUCCCUCCCUGGUUAUGAACAUAAAAGUAAUGCCACUACAAUUAAGAGAAGGUUGAAGCUAUGUUUUAUUUGUGAACUUCACUCACUCUGUAGUAGACAAAAUUCAAGAAAGAGAGUAAUCUAUUUUAAGCUAUCCUACUCUGCAAUAACUAUAGAAUUCAUGAUGAGCACUUUAAAUUUCCAC
This 1221-nucleotide long non-coding RNA is filed under the name Sorghum bicolor (sorghum). RNAcentral describes it as "long non-coding RNA (SBIC_LNC015589)". The record is from RNAcentral. Lineage: Eukaryota; Viridiplantae; Streptophyta; Magnoliopsida; Poales; Poaceae.